This 253-nucleotide ribosomal RNA is filed under the name uncultured bacterium. Its description in RNAcentral is "partial 16S ribosomal RNA". It matches the Rfam family "Bacterial small subunit ribosomal RNA", at positions 524 to 776 of the family's 1533-position model. The record is from RNAcentral.
GACAGAGGAUGCAAGCGUUAUCCGGAAUGAUUGGGCGUAAAGCGUCUGUAGGUGGCUUUUCAAGUCCGCCGUCAAAUCCCAGGGCUCAACCCUGGACAGGCGGUGGAAACUACCAAGCUGGAGUACGGUAGGGGCAGAGGGAAUUUCCGGUGGAGCGGUGAAAUGCAUUGAGAUCGGAAGGAACGCCGGUGGCGAAAGCGGCUUACUGGUCCGGUUCUGACGCUGAGGCGCGAAAGCGUGAGGAGCAAACAGG